This 400-nucleotide ribosomal RNA is filed under the name uncultured bacterium. RNAcentral describes it as "bacterial SSU rRNA". It matches the Rfam family "Bacterial small subunit ribosomal RNA", at positions 355 to 770 of the family's 1533-position model. The record is from RNAcentral.
UCGAGAAUAUUCCUCAAUGGGCGAAAGCCUGAAGGAGCGACGCCGCGUGCAGGAUGAAGGCCCUUGGGUCGUAAACUGCUUUUCUACAUAAAGAAUUUGUGACGGUAAUGUAGGAAUAAGAGGUUACUAACUCUGUGCCAGCAGUAGCGGUAAUACAGAGACCUCAAGCGUUAUCCGGAUUUAUUGGGCGUAAAGCGCGUGUAGGCGGGGAUGUUAGUCAGACGUCAAAUCUUCGAGCUUAACUCGAAAACUGCGUUUGAAACGGCAUCUCUUGAGAGAGCGAGAGACCAGUGGAACGUAUGGUGUAGCAGUGAAAUGCGUUGAUAUCAUACGGAACACCAUAGGCGAAGGCAUCUGGUUGGCGCUCAUCUGACGCUGAGACGCGAAAGCGUGGGUAGCG